This 303-nucleotide ribosomal RNA is filed under the name uncultured bacterium. Its description in RNAcentral is "partial 16S ribosomal RNA". It matches the Rfam family "Bacterial small subunit ribosomal RNA", at positions 507 to 807 of the family's 1533-position model. The record is from RNAcentral.
AGCAGCCGCCGCGGUAAUACGAAGGGUGCAAGCGUUAAUCGGAAUUACUGGGCGUAAAGCGUGCGUAGGCGGUUUGUUAAGUCUGCUGUGAAAUCCCCGGGCUCAACCUGGGAAUGGCAGUGGAUACUGGCAAGCUAGAGUGUGUCAGAGGAUGGUGGAAUUCCCGGUGUAGCGGUGAAAUGCGUAGAGAUCGGGAGGAACAUCAGUGGCGGAGGCGGCCAUCUGGGACAACACUGACGCUGAGGCACGAAAGCGUGGGGAGCAAACAGGAUUAGAUACCCCCGUAGUCCCUGUCUCUUAUAC